Molecule: ribosomal RNA, 120 nt
Filed under: uncultured bacterium
Lineage: Bacteria
Description: partial 16S ribosomal RNA
Rfam family: Bacterial small subunit ribosomal RNA
Source: RNAcentral
CACGCCCUAAACGAUGUCGACUAGUUGUUCGGAGCGGUAACGCACUGAGUAACGUAGCUAACGCGUGAAGUCGACCGCCUGGGGAGUACGGUCGCAAGAUUAAAACUCAAAGGAAUUGAC